CCUACGGGAGGCAGCAGUAAGGAAUAUUGGUCAAUGGACGCAAGUCUGAACCAGCCAUGCCGCGUGAAGGAUUAAGGCCCUCUGGGUUGUAAACUUCUUUUAUAGGGGACGAAAAAAGGGCAUUCUUGCUCACUUGACGGUACCCUAGGAAUAAGCACCGGCUAACUCCGUGCCAGCAGCCGCGGUAAUACGGAGGGUGCAAGCGUUAUCCGGAUUUACUGGGUUUAAAGGGUGCGUAGGUGGGUUGGUAAGUCAGUGGUGAAAUCUUCGAGCUUAACUCGGAAACUGCCAUUGAUACUAUCAAUCUUGAAUCAUCUAGAGGUAAGCGGAAUAUGUCAUGUAGCGGUGAAAUGCUUAGAUAUGACAUAGAACACCAAUUGCGAAGGCAGCUUACUAUGGAUGCAUUGACACUGAGGCACGAAAGCGUGGGGAUCAAACAGGAUUAGAUACCCUGGUAGUCCACGCCCUAAACGAUGGAUACUCGACAUUUGUGAUAUACAAUAAGUGUCUGAGCGAAAGCAUUAAGUAUCCCACCUGGAAGUACGACCGCAAGGUUGAAACUCGAAAGGAAUUGACGGCUGAGACGAGACGACGACGACGACGAGGGAGGAGG
Molecule: ribosomal RNA, 613 nt
Filed under: uncultured bacterium
Lineage: Bacteria
Description: bacterial SSU rRNA
Rfam family: Bacterial small subunit ribosomal RNA
Source: RNAcentral